This 76-nucleotide small RNA is filed under the name Sphingomonas sp. AX6. Its description in RNAcentral is "Makes More Granules Regulator RNA (mmgR)". It matches the Rfam family "Makes More Granules Regulator RNA (mmgR)". From Rfam's summary of the family: SuhB later renamed mmgR (makes more granules regulator) was a putative non-coding RNA found multiple times in the Agrobacterium tumefaciens genome and related alpha-proteobacteria. Other non-coding RNAs uncovered in the same analysis include: speF, ybhL, metA, and serC. Several studies inSinorhizobium meliloti showed that suhB element is indeed a non-coding RNA:firstly it was detected on Northern blot and called Sm8RNA, secondly in an RNAseq study referred to as SmelC689. Lineage: Bacteria; Pseudomonadati; Pseudomonadota; Alphaproteobacteria; Sphingomonadales; Sphingomonadaceae. The record is from Rfam by way of RNAcentral.
AGAACGGGCCUUUCAGGCAUCCUCUCCUAAACCUUUCACGGCCGGUCCCCAGGGAUCGGCCUUUUUUUUGGCGUGC